CCAGUUUAGUCAAUGCUCGCAAGAGUGAACUAGCUAACUGAAAUCAUAGAAUUUUUUAAAAUUCAUGAUGUCGUAAGGGAAAAUAAUGAUAAUACCUUACUAUGAGUGUUGUCCAAAUCUGGUGCCAGAAGACUCGGUAAGACCAGAAACGCAAACGUUAAUCAUCAUAAACAGGCGUAAAGGGUUUGUAGGCAGCUUUUAUCAGAUUAUGCAUUUUAAAAUAAAGUAGUCUAAUUAAAAGCUAGAAUCAAAAAGAGGUUAUAGUGUAUAACGCCUAGAGGAGGGCUGAUAUCCAUAGAUCCUAGGCAGAAUACUAAGGGCGAAGGCCACUUUCCAUUAAUGAUUGACGCUGAGAAACGAAGGUUAGGGUAGGAAAUAGGAUUAGAUACCCCGGUACUCCUUUCUGUAAACGAUGAAUGGUAGUCAUUAGUUUUUUUCUUAGAAAAAAAAAAAUAACUAGAGACGAAGUUAACACAAUAACCAUUCCGCCUUGUGAGUACUACUGCAAAGUAGAAAACAAAAAAAUUAGUCGGUCUCGAAGCAAACGGAGUGAAGCAUGUUAUUUAUGGGA
This 571-nucleotide ribosomal RNA is filed under the name Haploporus nepalensis. Its description in RNAcentral is "partial small subunit ribosomal RNA". It matches the Rfam family "Bacterial small subunit ribosomal RNA", at positions 359 to 954 of the family's 1533-position model. The record is from RNAcentral. Lineage: Eukaryota; Fungi; Basidiomycota; Agaricomycetes; Polyporales; Polyporaceae.